RNAcentral lists this ribosomal RNA (497 nucleotides) under uncultured bacterium. RNAcentral's name for it is "partial 16S ribosomal RNA". It matches the Rfam family "Bacterial small subunit ribosomal RNA", at positions 28 to 507 of the family's 1533-position model. The record is from RNAcentral.
GAUGAACGCUGGCGGCGUGCCUAAUACAUGCAAGUCGAGCGAACGGACGAGAAGCUUGCUUCUCUGAUGUUAGCGGCGGACGGGUGAGUAACACGUGGAUAACCUACCUAUAAGACUGGGAUAACUUCGGGAAACCGGAGCUACUACCGGAUAAUAUUUUGAACCGCAUGGUUCAAAAGUGAAAGACGGUCUUGCUGUCACUUAUAGAUGGAUCCGCGCUGCAUUAGCUAGUUGGUAAGGUAACGGCUUACCAAGGCAACGAUGCAUAGCCGACCUGAGAGGGUGAUCGGCCACACUGGAACUGAGACACGGUCCAGACUCCUACGGGAGGCAGCAGUAGGGAAUCUUCCGCAAUGGGCGAAAGCCUGAUGGAGCAACGCCGCGUGAGUGAUGAAGGUCUUCGGAUCGUAAAACUCUGUUAUUAGGGAAGAACAUAUGUGUAAGUAACUGUGCACAUCUUGACGGUACCUAAUCAGAAAGCCACGGCUAACUACGUG